Molecule: unclassified non-coding RNA, 343 nt
Filed under: soil metagenome
Description: partial contains 5.8S ribosomal RNA, internal transcribed spacer 2, and large subunit ribosomal RNA
Rfam family: 5.8S ribosomal RNA (bases 1-120)
Source: RNAcentral
GAUGAAGAACGUAGCGAAAUGCGAUAAGUAAUGUGAAUUGCAGAAUUCAGUGAAUCAUCGAGUUUUUGAACGCAUAUUGCGCCCUCUGGUAUUCCGGGGGGCAUGCCUGUUCGAGCGUCAUUAAAUAACCCUCAAGCAUAGCUUGGUGUUGGGCUUUUUUACGUCCUUGACUGGGAUGGGCCUAAAAAUUAGUGGCGAUGGCUUUUUUACUUUCAAGCGUAGUAAAUCUCGUCUUGCUAAAGAGGAAAAAGAUUUUUUUUCUGCCAAAAAUUUUAACAUUUAAAGUUGACCUCGGAUCAGGUAGGAUCACCCGCUGAACUUAAGCAUAUCAAUAAGCGGAGGA